ACUGAGUGGCGGACGGGUGAGUAACGCGUGGGUAACCUGCCCCAUACCGGGGGAUAACAUUCAGAAAUGAGUGCUAAUACCGCAUAAGACCACAGUGCCGCAUGGCACAGGGGUCAAAACUCCGGUGGUAUGGGAUGGACCCGCGUCUGAUUAGGUAGUUGGCGGGGUAACGGCCCACCAAGCCGACGAUCAGUAGCCGACCUGAGAGGGUGACCGGCCACACUGGGACUGAGACACGGCCCAGACUCCUACGGAAGGCAGCAG
This 264-nucleotide ribosomal RNA is filed under the name uncultured bacterium. RNAcentral's name for it is "partial 16S ribosomal RNA". It matches the Rfam family "Bacterial small subunit ribosomal RNA", at positions 90 to 354 of the family's 1533-position model. The record is from RNAcentral.